Long non-coding RNA from Heterocephalus glaber (naked mole-rat), 2074 nucleotides. NCBI's taxonomy places the organism in Eukaryota, Metazoa, Chordata, Mammalia, Rodentia, Bathyergidae. The record is from Ensembl.
GGUCUUUUAAUUUGGCUGGGGAUAAGAAAGAAUCUAGGUCCUCAGGUUAGGACAAAGCUGGAGGCUAAAAACAACAGAGCUUUCUCUCAGGAGCCUCCUGACAUCCUAGGGUUUGUGUGUUUUGCUUUAGGGGAAGACACCUGUCCCACCUCCUUUCUGUCUUUCUCUCCAUGAUAACAGCUGUGGCUUGGAAGCCAACAGCAAGCCCUGUGGAUGCAGCCAGUGUCCUCCAGCUUCUCAUGAUGACCUCUGCCCUCAGUCUGGACAAUUAAAAGCAGAGAUCGCCAAGGUCAAAGUGCUCCUGGGCUCUCUGCUCUCUCCCGGACCAGCGCCCACUUUGAGCAGGGGAUAUACCCAGAGGAACUUUCUGAAGAAUCUGGAAGAGAUUGUAUUUCCAUGUUCACAGCAGAAUUAUUCACUGGAAGCAGCUCCCAGGUGUCCACGAUAGACGAAUAGAUAAAGAAAAUUCGUCAAAAUGACAUAUUGUGCAGCCCUAAACAGGAAGCAAAUUCUGACAUAUACUACAGCAUGGCUGAACCUCAAGGACAUUAUGUUAAGUGAAAUAAACCAGUCACAAAAAGACAAAUAUCAUUCCACUUAAAUGAGGUGUCAGUAAAAAUCACAGAGACAGAAAGUAGAAUGCUUUGUUCUUAGUUUCAUGUCUUCAAAUACUUAAAACCUUGGCUCGGCCAUAAUCCCUUGUCCCUCUCACCUUAUCGGUUUGAUUAUCAGUUUUCUUCGCUGCUCUAGAUAGUCCCCAUCUGUGCAUCACACAAACAGCUUUAAGGCUGCUGUUCUAAAGAUAAGCAAGGUACUCCCCAGAGCCCACAAUCCCUCCUGGCCUGCACUAGAUGUUUUUUUUCUUUUGCUGUUUGCCAUCCUUGAAAAAUUCUUCCAGAGUUGUCAAUACCUUCCAGAGCUGUCUCCACCUUCUUGCAUCCCCUCCCACCCAAUCCAAUGGUCUUCUUUUUCACCAUCCUUUUCUUCUUUUUUAUUUAUUUAUUUUCGCUUUUUGAGUCAGGGUCUCUCUAUGGAGUAUGUACUCCAGGCUGGCCUGGAACCUGUGGUGAUCCUCCUUGCCUCAACCUCCCGAGUGUUGGGAUUACAGGUGUGUGCCACCACACCCAGCUUUUUCUUUCUUUUUUUUUUUUUUUUUUGGUACCGGGGAUCCAACUCAGGACCUUGUGCUUGUGCAGCAGGCACUGGACACUACUGAGCUAAAUCCCUGGCCCCUCUUUAUUUUUCUUUUAAUCUCUUCUUUUUUUUUUUUUUUGGAACCAGGUAUCAAACUCGGGUCUUUGCACUUUCAUAGCAGGUGGCGAAACCACUGAGCUAAAUCCCUGGCCCUUAAUCUCUGUUUUGGAGGAGGUGACAUUCUGUUUUCCACAGUGGCUACACCACUUCCCAUUCCCACCAACAGUGCACAGGGUCCAAUUCCUCUACAUCCUUGUGACACUUGGUAUUUUCUGUCCCCCACCCCAUAGUAGCUAUGAUAUCCUAAUAAGUGUGAGGUGGUAUCACAGUAUGAAAUUUUUAUAAAAACCAAACUCCAAGCCCUUAACAAAUUCUGGGUCUAGUUGAUGACACGUGAGCAGAUGUGUUAGGGGUGAAGUGUUCUGAUAUUUGCAGUUUGCUUUGAAAUGCAUUGGGAGGGUGGACUGGGAAUGAAUGGAGAGACGUGUGACAAGAUGACGAGCCACUGUACAGAGGUGUUGACAGUUGUGGUAUUAGGUGCUGGGUGUAUACAUGUUUUGAAGUUUUAUGUAUAUUUGAGAACUUUCAUAAUAAAUCUUUUUGGGGCACUUUCUGUGUCUUAGAGAAGUUUUGCUGUGAAGGGCUGAGACCCCUCUAGUGAAUGUGGAUCCAACAGGCUGAAAGACCUGAGCAGCAAUAGAGGCCUGAAGGGGAGCAGAAUAGAAACUACUGACCAGGACUCAGGACCCUGGAGGUGCAUGUGUCAGGGUGGGAGAGGGGAAAACAGAGGAUCAGGGACCCUGAGAGCAGUGUGAGGAAUGGGUGUCCCCACCCUGAAUGUCCAUCUGGGACAGGCUGUUUCCACAAGGGGAUUGCAGAG